Molecule: ribosomal RNA, 485 nt
Filed under: uncultured bacterium
Lineage: Bacteria
Description: bacterial SSU rRNA
Rfam family: Bacterial small subunit ribosomal RNA
Source: RNAcentral
GACGAACGCUGGCGGCGCGCCUAACACAUGCAAGUCGAACGGGAUUUUUAGGAGCUUGCUCCUGGCAAUCUAGUGGCGGACGGGUGAGUAACACGUGAGCAACCUGCCUUUCAGAGGGGGAUAACGUUCGGAAACGAACGCUAAUACCGCAUAACAUGCCGGAGGGGCAUCCCUUUGGUAUCAAAGGAGCAAUCCGCUGAAAGAUGGGCUCGCACCCGAUUAGAUAGUUGGCGGGGUAACGGCCCACCAAGUCUGUGAUCGGUAGCCGGACUGAGAGGUUGAUCGGCCACAUUGGGACUGAGACACGGCCAGACUCCUACGGGAGGCAGCAGUGGGGAAUAUUGGACAAUGGGCGAAAGCCUGAUCCAGCCAUGCCGCAUGAGUGAAGAAGGCCUUUGGGUUGUAAAGCUCUUUUAGUGAGGAAGAUAAUGACGGUACCCACAGAAGAAGUCCUGGCUAACUCCGUGCCAGCAGCCGCGGUAACA